Molecule: RNA transcript, 2840 nt
Organism: Scatophagus argus
Lineage: Eukaryota; Metazoa; Chordata; Actinopteri; Scatophagidae
Gene: tdrd3
Gene name: tudor domain containing 3
Exons: 14
Source: RefSeq, a predicted model, not a curated record
UACGUAGUCUUUCAGUUCUCACAUUGGUGAGCUAUAUCAUUAUUAGGGGGAGAAUAUGUUUUAUAGAAUCAGGUAGUGGUUAUUCAAAUGUGCUCGCUUUAAACCCAUUGGUGUUAUUAUAUACACAUCUACAGUUUGGACGAAAAUGGCCGAUUUGGCAGAUUCCCUGGUCAAAGAGGGCUGGUACCUCAGUGAAGAAGGCAUAGCAGAACUGAAAGGAUCUGCGGAGAAAAUAACACACAGUGACAUUAUUCGUAUUGCGCUAGACAGUGAUCUUAGGCCUAUUGGGAGAAAAUUUCUACCAUCUGAUAUCAAUAGCGGACGAACAGAGAAGUUGGAGGGUCCAUGUGUUCUCCAGGUGCAGAAGGUGAGGAACGUCUCAGCUCCGAAAGACCAUGAGGAGUCCCAGGGAGCGCCGCGAAUGCUGAGGCUACAAAUGACAGAUGGGCAUACCACCUGUGUUGGAUUGGAGUUUAAACACCUGUCUAAAAUCAGUAUUAAUACCCCUCCUGGAACAAAGGUGAAACUACUUGGUACAGUCCAGGUUAAAAAUGGUCUUUUGCUGCUUGAUGACUCAAAAAUCUUUGUCCUUGGAGGAGAGGUUGAUCACAUGGUGGAGAAAUGGGAACUGCAAAGGAGUCUGGCCAAACACAGUAGGAGUAACAUUGGAGCAGAAGGUGGACCUCCUCCCUUUGUGCCAUUUGGUCAGAAGUGUGCAAGGAGGGAUCAAGUAGACAGCAGAGAACUGGACCAGAGGAAGACCCUUCAGGCUCAUAAUGUGGUAAAAAGCACUGAUGAGAAUGAUGAGUUUGAAAAGCAGCGGACAGCAGCUAUUGCCGAAGUGGCCAAGACCAAAGAAGGUCCCCGAACGUUUGGCGGUGGAGGAAAUGCCGGCAGUAAUUUAUCCAGCACUGCUUCCUCCUCCCGGAGCCGAGACUCAUACCAGAAGAGACGAGAAGACAGGGUUGAAAGAACUGAAAGCAGACAAGAUGGAAACUAUAGAGAGCUGGUGGACGAACAUGCUCUGAGAGACAUCAUGGAGAUGGGCUUUAACAGAGAGGCUGCUCGACAGGCUUUAAUGGACAAUAACAACAACCUUGAAGUUGCAUUAAACAGCCUACUGACUGGAUUUUCUGGUAGCAGACCUGGCCCUGUGGUAGCUGAAUCUAACAAGCCCCAACCCAGAGCCAGAGGAAAGGGAAGAGGCAGGUCCAGAAAUGAAGAUGAUGAGGAGGGAGCAGGAGGGAGGCCCUCUGGACCAAGCACUCUGUUUGACUUUCUUGAAUCCAAGAUGGGAGUUUUCUCUAUUGAUGAGCCAAAGAGCCAGGCACCUCAGAGACAUCAUGAGAGUAAAGCAAAUUUCUCCAACUCAGACUAUUACUCCAAAGGCACACCUCAGACCAAGUUCUCCUCCUAUGAUGAGCAUAGGCAGCAAAGAAAUGACAGACCUCCUCGUUUCCACAGGGACACUGAUUUUCCCAAACCUGGCCAGGAGCUUCCGUCUAACUGUGCAACCACCCAAACAUCAGCGAAAUCCAUGCAGUGGAAGGGCCAGGAGAGAUGGUCACGAGGCACCUCAGACAGAUCUCUAAAUGACAGGAAAGAGAUGAGAGAAGAGCAGAUUUUACCUUCAUCCUUCACCACUACUUUCACACGUUCAAAAGAACCUCAGCAGCAGAUGGAGUUUAGUGGAUCGUACAAUCAACGAUCCAGAAAUGGAGAUGGUGGUGGGAAUAUGGCUGGACCAUCUCAUGGGAGAGGGGUAAAAGACAGUGCACCCGCGACUAAAUUGACAGCAGGCAGUGAAGAUGGAAGAGGAAAUAAUAAACGUACAGACAGAACUGAGGAGCGCAACAACAGCAGGAGGAUGGGGAAAACUGACCGGCCAAACUCAGACCACUUUGAGCGACAAAGGGAUAGUGGGCCACCAAACUUCAACUUGAGGGGUGGAGGCUCAGUGACCUCUCAAGAACCAGGGUUAUCAAGGGAUUGUCGAAUCAUGACAGGGGAUCCUUCUCAUUUUCAAAAUGGAGAUAUGGAACCCAAAAGAACCGGGCCAAUCAAGCCAGCAAUUUCAUCGUGUCCCCCAAAUAGGGAGCCACAUCCCAAGAAAAACAGUUCUAAUAACCCAGGACCCAAAAAAAGGUCAGGACAAAACAAAGGUCAAGGUCCUCGGGGGCCAGACAGAAGUCAUACUGUAGAGCACACUUGGAAACCUGGAGACCAGUGCCUGGCACUAUACUGGGAAGACGGCAAGUUCUACCAUGCCAGAGUAGAUGCUGUUCAUCCUUCAGGCUCCACGGCUGUGGUUGUUUUUAGUGACUAUGGAAACUGUGAAGAGGUCCUGCUGCAUAACAUUAAACCUGUUACUGCUGACAUGUUGGUCAAGAAAGCUGAGGAAAUUUGAAUUACAUCUAAUCUGAUUAGCAUUCGUAACAUCACAACCAUAUCAAAUGUGCAAUGGCAGGAGGAAGAUGAUGGUUACUAUGAUAGUUCACUCGAGUUUCGCCGCGGGGGAGAUGGACAGCCAAGACGCACAAGACCAACACAGCAGUACUACCAGCCGCCCAGGGCACGAGAUUGAUGUGACUGCAUUUUCAGUGUGCUUGUCCCUCAUCCUUCUCUGACAGAGUUUAUGUGACUCUGCAACAAUCCAGAGUGCUUCCUGAAGUGUCCACAUCGACAGGACAUACAGAACUUUUCAAAGGGCUUGGACACCAUGCAAAAAUGAAAGACAAACUGACACGAGCACCUGUUGAUUUUGUUAAGGACAUAUCUACUGUAUAUGUUGUGAAGAUUUGUUAAAUGUAUGCAUUAAAAUAAACAGCUAUUAUAGUGUA